GGUUAUUGAAGCACUGUAUAUCCUUGCAAGGACGCCUAAGAUCUCUGGUGAAGCCAGUAUCGGCUGCUAGUUCCGGGCUAGAGGCAGAUUCAGCUGAUGAAUGCCUUAAAAAUGCAAAGAUAGUUGUUGAAUCCGAAGAAGCUGAGAAGAUACAAGUCAGAGUAGAUGUGAACGGGGAGUACACAAAAAUGGUAUUCGAUAGUGUUUUGACAAAAUUAG
RNAcentral lists this unclassified non-coding RNA (219 nucleotides) under Hevea brasiliensis (rubber tree). The record is from RNAcentral. Lineage: Eukaryota; Viridiplantae; Streptophyta; Magnoliopsida; Malpighiales; Euphorbiaceae.